CCUACGGGAGGCAGCAGUGGGGAAUAUUGGUCAAUGGGCGCAAGCCUGACCCAGCAACGCCGCGUGAAGGAAGAAGGCUUUCUGGUUGUAAACUUCUUUUCUCAGGGACGAAGCAAGUGACGGUACCUGGGGAAUAAGCCUCGGCUAACUACGUGCCAGCCGCCGCGGUACUCCGUAGGUGGCAAGCGUUAUACGGAUUUACUGGGUGUAAAGGGCGUGUAGGCGGGAAAGGAAGUCAGAUGUGAAAACCAUGGGCUCAACCUGUGGCCUGCAUUUGAAACUGGUUGUCUUGAGUACUGGAGAGGUGGACGGAAUUCGUAGUGUAGCGGUGAAAUGCGUAGAGAUUAGGAGGAACACCAGUGGCGAAGGCGGUCUGCUGGACAGCAACUGACGCUGAGGCGCGAAAGCGUGGGGAGCAAACAGGAUUAGAUACCCGGGUAGUC
RNAcentral lists this ribosomal RNA (443 nucleotides) under uncultured bacterium. Its description in RNAcentral is "partial 16S ribosomal RNA". It matches the Rfam family "Bacterial small subunit ribosomal RNA", at positions 338 to 795 of the family's 1533-position model. The record is from RNAcentral.